AUGUUGUAUGAAAGGAGAGAAGGUUAGCACUCCCCUCUAAAGGAUGGAAGAGGCCUUCAUGCCUAACAACAUGCAUACGGUUAAGGCACUACCAUGUACAGAUUGUGGCAUCUAACUGCUGUUUUUA
Pteronotus mesoamericanus is the source of this 127-nucleotide small nuclear RNA. Lineage: Eukaryota; Metazoa; Chordata; Mammalia; Chiroptera; Mormoopidae. The record is from RefSeq and is a predicted model, not a curated record.